CAGUCGCCGCGGUAAUACGAAGGGGGCUAGCGUUGCUCGGAAUUACUGGGCGUAAAGGGCGCGUAGGCGGACAGUUCAGUCGGGGGUGAAAGCCCGGGGCUCAACCUCGGAAUUGCCUUCGAUACUGGCUGUCUUGAGUAUGAGAGAGGUGUGUGGAACUCCGAGUGUAGAGGUGAAAUUCGUAGAUAUUCGGAAGAACACCAGUGGCGAAGGCGACACACUGGCUCAUCACUGACGCUGAGGCGCGAAAGCGUGGGGAGCAAACAGGAUUAGAUACCCCAGUAGUCCCUGUCUCUUAUAC
RNAcentral lists this ribosomal RNA (301 nucleotides) under uncultured bacterium. RNAcentral describes it as "partial 16S ribosomal RNA". It matches the Rfam family "Bacterial small subunit ribosomal RNA", at positions 509 to 807 of the family's 1533-position model. The record is from RNAcentral.